RNAcentral lists this ribosomal RNA (395 nucleotides) under uncultured Bacteroides sp. Its description in RNAcentral is "bacterial SSU rRNA". It matches the Rfam family "Bacterial small subunit ribosomal RNA", at positions 22 to 406 of the family's 1533-position model. The record is from RNAcentral. Lineage: Bacteria; Pseudomonadati; Bacteroidota; Bacteroidia; Bacteroidales; Bacteroidaceae.
GCUCAGGAUGAACGCUAGCUACAGGCUUAACACAUGCAAGUCGAGGGGCAGCAUGGUCUUAGCUUGCUAAGGCUGAUGGCGACCGGCGCACGGGUGAGUAACACGUAUCCAACCUGCCGUCUACUCUUGGCCAGCCUUCUGAAAGGAAGAUUAAUCCAGGAUGGGAUCAUGAGUUCACAUGUCCGCAUGAUUAAAGGUAUUUUCCGGUAGACGAUGGGGAUGCGUUCCAUUAGAUAGUAGGCGGGGUAACGGCCCACCUAGUCAACGAUGGAUAGGAGUUCUGGGAGGAAGGUCCCCCACAUUGGAACUGAGACACGGUCCAAACUCCUACGGGAGGCAGCAGUGAGGAAUAUUGGUCAAUGGGCGAUGGCCUGAACCAGCCAAGUAGCGUGAGA